RNAcentral lists this unclassified non-coding RNA (332 nucleotides) under soil metagenome. RNAcentral's name for it is "partial contains 5.8S ribosomal RNA, internal transcribed spacer 2, and large subunit ribosomal RNA". The stretch from base 1 to 120 matches the Rfam family "5.8S ribosomal RNA", at positions 35 to 154 of the family's 154-position model. The record is from RNAcentral.
GAUGAAGAACGUAGUGAAAUGCGAUAAGUAGUGUGAAUUGCAGAAUCCAGUGAAUCAUCGAAUCUUUGAACGCACAUUGCGCCCUUUGGUAUUCCUUAGGGCAUGCCUGUUCGAGCGUCAUUUAAACCUUCAAGCUAAGCUUGGUGUUGGGUGACUGUCCGCUUCACGGCGGACUCGCCUCAAAAUUAUUGGCGGCCGGUACAUUGGCUUCGAGCGCAGCAGAAACGCGAACUCGGGCCCGUCGUAUUGGCUCCCAGAAGCUAUCUUCACAAUUUUGACCUCGGAUCAGGUAGGGAUACCCGCUGAACUUAAGCAUAUCAAUAAGCGGAGGA